UAGACCGUGUUGAGAGACUUCUAAUGAUAAGCACUUGUCAUGCAGGUAUUUGUGAUAAAAGACUCCUCAAAGAUUCCCAUCCAACGUCUGCUGAAAGAUCACCAAAGAUGGACAAUCCAUCAUCUUCCCAUUCAAUCUAUUCCAUUAUCAAACAGGUCUUACCACAAAUAAGCUUUUCCUAACAUCUAAGUGGAAUCAGUUACAGUGAGAUAUGGAAAUGAUCGAAGAUAAAAGGCGAUCUUUCCUUGUGGCCUCUCUGACAAUUCAAAGCCAGAGCCUUCAACAGUCCCAGCAUCAUCAGAGCCUUCAAGAUUUCCCACAUCAACAUUGCUUUGGUCAGCCUGCAUAAACCCAAAUCCCCCUUCAUCAUCAGACUGAACCAGAACACAUCUUGACAGUCAGAAUGGAAGCAAUUGCCUAAAGAGACCUCGAGGACUUCUUCUCCAGAUGUCUUCAGAAAGAACUUGGACAAUUACGUGAGAGAGAUGAUCUACUUGGAAUUCCCACAUUGAGUGAACUUGAAUUUGGCAGCACAUGUGAUCAUAUCCAACUCUGUGAUUCUAUUAUUCCGAUUAUAUGAAAAACCCGUGUCCAACAACAUACAUCAGAGUUGUGUUGCAUAAAUUUAUGCAUGCAGAACUGAGUGUUGGUCUAUGCAACUCUUUCACUGAAUGGCAACGUUACAUAUGCCCAUCAACAUGGCCACUAACGUGGGCUGGUCCAUGAGGUCACGAAGAGUCGGAAGUGACUGAAUGAAUAAACAACAACAUGGCUACUAACAUGUGCAGGACAGGCACAAUGGCACUGAACACACAGCCCUAUUUCCUUCAUCUCGAAAUGAAUGAGCACACUCCGCAUCAGACCAAAAUACCCAAAGAAUAUAACACAUCCAUAAGGUACCAACAGGCUCCUAGCUUCUGUGUUUCAACUGCCAUCUGUUCUGGGGAUAAAACGAUGUCAGAACGGGACCCGAAAAUAUGACCUUUUUUGAGGAAAAGGAGUGAUGUGAGAUGGAUGUGAGAACUGUGGGAGGGUUACAGAAAGAACCGUUUGAAGCUCUGAUUAUGCAGAGUUUCCUCUCUCUGCUGCCGUGGUCUUGCGGCCAAUCCUUAAUGAUUAAUUUAAAUUGGCAUUUUUGCUGGCCAUGUAGUCUGUCUGGUUGCGUUCCUCUUUGCAGACCAAUUGGUGCUAUUAUGUGAUGGAUAGCUGGAGAAGCAAGGAGGCAAGAAUGAUAUCCCCCACAAUUAGGCACAUGGCUUGGUCCAGACAGGGCCCUAAAUCUUUAAAAGAGAGUUAAUUUCUUGCUAAUGUGGAAACAGAAACAAUUUAUAGACUUUGCAUGGCUCAAGAUAAAGAGACGGGGGUUACAUCUACACUCUAGAAUGAAUGCAGUUUAACACCACUUUAACGGCCAUGACUCAAUGCUAUGGAAGUUGUAGUUGGUGAAGUACCAGCACUAUUUGCUUCAGAAGCCGCAAAGCCUUUUAAAGCUACAAUUCUCAAGAUUCCAUAAGAUGGAGUGAUUGCAGUUAAAGUGGAGUCAAACUGCAUUAGUUCUAUAGUGUAGAUGCACUCUGUAUCCUUCACUGGUAUUGUUAAUAUUCCUUGAGGAGAGCAUUUUGGGUUAUAUUGUAUUACUGUUUUAUCUUUUUAUAGUGCGAUUUGCAUUAUGUUGCCUAUGUUUUGUCCUAUGUUGUUUGGGCCUCUGCCCCAUGUAAGCCGCCCCGAGUCCUCGCGGGGAAAUGGUGGCGGGGUAUAAAUAAAGUUUUAUUAUUAUUAUUAUGUAUUAUUUUAUGUUUAGAGAAGAGACUGAAAGAAGGAAAGCUAAACAGGGAGUGCCCUGUGUUGGGGUUUGUAAAAGACACCACGGUUUAAUGGGUUAACUGGAAGAAUAUGUGUAAGCAGUUGAUUGGCUGAGCCUAUGAAGAGCUAGCAAACUGGUAGAUUAUGUGUCAGCAGCUGAUUGGCCGAGCCUGUGAAAAGCUGGCAAAUCUGAUUGGCUGUUUUCUUUGCCAAGCUACUGAGAGAACCGGUUUGUGCAGCUUUUACCUCGGUGAGUGAUAGUGAUUGAAAGAGAGUGCUGACUGGAAACAGCCAGGAAAGAAGAUGGCUGCCAACUCCCUAAAGCCUUAUUGUUUCUAAGGCAUUGAGGCAUAUUUAAGGACUAUUUAAAAGGACUGUUUAUUCCCUCUAUUCUCUGUGAAUAAUCAGAGCGACUAUUGUAUAUAUUAUUGCUCUGUUUGAGUAAUAGUUGAGUAAAGUUCCUGUUACUUCUUUCACAAGCCUGAGUGGCGCAUUAUUACACUGCAGGGUGACUUUGGUUCAGAAGCAGAUGGAAAAGCUUCCAUUUAUUACCAUCUACAAUACGCAACACCCUGGAUAGGACCUGGAUGGGAGACCACAGAGGAAUACCAAGUUCUCAAUGAAGCCAGAAUCUUUCUUAUAGGUAUAACGGACUCAACUUUCGAUAAAAAUCAAGAUAACCGGAGGCCGGGUUGUGGCGCAGCUGGCUAGUAACCAGCUGCUAUAAAUCACUACUGACCGAGAGGUCAUGAGUUCGAAGCCCGGGUCGGGUUAAGCCUCCGACCAUUAAAAAAAAUAGCCCCGGCUUGCUGUUGACCUAGCAGCCCCGAAAGACAGUUGCAUCUGUCAAGUAGGGAAAAUUUAGGUACGCUUUAUGCGGGAGGCUAAUUUAACUAAUCUACAACACCAUAAAACUGCUCACGAGGAAAAGAAUGAGGAAGAACAGCCACCAAUGGACGGUGAAGCAACAGCUCCCCCUGUGGCCGGAAUCGUGAACCUGGAAAGAUGUUAAAAUGCCUCUGUGUCUGUCUAAAACUGAAUGUUGUUUGUCUGUUGGCAUUGAAUGUUUGCCAUAUAUGUGUUCAUUGUAAUCCGCCCUGAGUCCCCUUCGGGGUGAGAAGGGCGUAAUAUAAAUACUGUAAAUAAAUAAAUAAAUAAAUAAAUAAAUAAUUUACAUAUAUUACUACAGUAGGCAGGAUAGAAUAUGCAAAAAAUGGAAAAUAAAAUAAAUACCUAAUGUGGAUGAUUGGAUUAAUAAAAUUACAGAUAUUAUGAAUAUGGAUAUUUUAACAUACCUGUAAAGAAGUGUAUGAUUUUAUUUUGUUUAUAGAUGACAUGUUUAUUUAAUUUUGUUUAAACAGUCAGGUUUAGUUAAGUUUAAAAUGGUAAGUAUUAGAGCUGAUGAUGCCAGAGGGUGACCAGCUCAGCAUGGUGAGACAGGUUACCAUGACAACGGGGGCGGAGCCAACCGCCGUUUGGAGAAGAGAAGAGGGAAUGUUUGAAAACCCAGUUUCAGUCUGUGAUUUCUAGUCAUAGGGAACGGACUGGUUCCAAGUUUAAGGAAACCAGGGAAGUUUGGAUCUUAGUCUGUGAUUUUUAGCCACAGGGAACAGACUGGUUUCAGGUUAAGGAAACCAGGGAGGCAGACCUCUAUUAGGCCAGACUAAGCAAGUUAGGUGACUUGUUUAGGGUUAUUUAUAGAGGCUGUGGAUUAGGGGAAGUUAAUCCCAGUGGAUCCAAGAGGAUCAGGUUCUAGUUAGUUUUGGAGAAAGAAGUAUUUUGAAAGUUGUAACACCUCACAUCUAUUUGUAACCGUUAAUCUAAGUGCCUUUAAGAAGUUAUUGAAACCACUAAGCUCUGUACAUGCAAUAAACUUGUUUUGAUUUUUAUUCCA
Long non-coding RNA from Anolis carolinensis (green anole), 3697 nucleotides. RefSeq lists it as uncharacterized. NCBI's taxonomy places the organism in Eukaryota, Metazoa, Chordata, Lepidosauria, Squamata, Anolidae. The transcript has 2 exons. The record is from RefSeq and is a predicted model, not a curated record.